CGGGCCGGCCAGACGGUCGCGUCGCGCGGGGUCCGCCCCGCGCGCCGAGGAACGUCCGGGCUCCGAAGGGCAGGACGGUGGGUAACACCCACCCGGAGUGAUCCGCGAGCAAGCGCAACAGAGAGCAGACCGCCCGGUCGCCGUUCCUCCUCGGAGGGCGGCACCGGGUAAGGGUGAAACGGUGGUGUAAGAGACCACCAGGGGCCCGAGUGAUCGGGCUCGCUGGGCAAGCCUCGUCCGGAGCAAGGCCAGACAGACACCGAUGACGCUGCCCGCCGAGGUGUCGGGUAGGCCGCUGGAGGGUCGCGGCGACGCGGCCCCGAGAGAGAUGGCCGUCCGCCGCCGGUCUUCGGGCCGGCGGUGACAGAACCCGGCGUAUCGGCCGGCCCGUUCG
Molecule: RNase P RNA, 394 nt
Filed under: Actinomycetales bacterium
Lineage: Bacteria; Bacillati; Actinomycetota; Actinomycetes; Actinomycetales
Description: RNase P RNA component class A
Rfam family: Bacterial RNase P class A
About the family: Ribonuclease P (RNase P) is a ubiquitous endoribonuclease, found in archaea, bacteria and eukarya as well as chloroplasts and mitochondria.
Source: RNAcentral